UACAGAGGUGGCAAGCGUUGUUCGGAAUUACUGGGCGUAAAGGGCGCGUAGGCGGCUUUUUAAGUCAGACGUGAAAUCCCCCGGCUUAACCUGGGAACUGCGUCUGAUACUGGGAAGCUUGAGUUCGGGAGAGGGAUGUAGAAUUCCAGGUGUAGCGGUGAAAUGCGUAGAUAUCUGGAGGAAUACCGGUGGCGAAGGCGGCAUCCUGGACCGAAACUGACGCUGAUGCGCGAAAGCUAGGGGAGCAAACGGG
Molecule: ribosomal RNA, 253 nt
Filed under: uncultured bacterium
Lineage: Bacteria
Description: partial 16S ribosomal RNA
Rfam family: Bacterial small subunit ribosomal RNA
Source: RNAcentral